RNAcentral lists this ribosomal RNA (1204 nucleotides) under Dorea longicatena. Its description in RNAcentral is "partial 23S ribosomal RNA". It matches the Rfam family "Bacterial large subunit ribosomal RNA", at positions 1 to 1208 of the family's 2925-position model. Lineage: Bacteria; Bacillati; Bacillota; Clostridia; Lachnospirales; Lachnospiraceae. The record is from RNAcentral.
UUGGUCAUGCUAGAAAGAGCGUAUGGUGGAUGCCUUGGCACUAAGAGCCGAUGAAAGACGUGAUAAGCUGCGAAAAGCUUCGGGGAGGAGCAAAUAUCCUUUGAUCCGGAGAUCUCUGAAUGGGGAAACCCACUUGAGCAAACCUCAAGUAUCCUAACGCCAAUACAUAACGUUAGGAGGGGAACCCGGUGAACUGAAACAUCUAAGUAGCCGGAGGAAGAGAAAACAACAUGUGAUUCUGUGAGUAGCGGCGAGCGAAAACGGAAGAGCCCAAACCGGGAUGCGUGCAUCCCGGGGUUCGGACCGCAUAAUUGAUUCAACAAAUUUAGCAGAACGGUUUUGGGAAAGCCGGCCAGAGAGGGUGAAAGCCCCGUAAGCGAAAGAUGAGUUGACAUGGCGGUAUCCAGAGUAGGUCGAGACACGUGGAACCUUGACUGAACAUGCGGGGACCACCCCGUAAGGCUAAAUACUCCUUAGUGACCGAUAGCGCAUAGUACUGUGAAGGAACGGUGAAAAGGACCCCGGGAGGGGAGUGAAACAGAACCUGAAACCAUAUGUUUACAAGCUGUGGAACCAUGUUUUAUGUGGAACCGCGUACUUUUUGUAGAACGGUCCGGCGAGUUGCGCUGGCUGGCGAGGUUAAGCACCAAAGGUGUGGAGCCGAAGGGAAACCAAGUCUUAAUAGGGCGAAUGAGUCAGUCGGAGCAGACCCGAAACCGGGUGAUCUAUCCAUGUCCAGGUUGAAGUUGCCGUAAAAGGCAAUGGAGGACCGAACCCACAUCCGUUGAAAAGGGUGGGGAUGAGGUGUGGAUAGGGGAGAAAUUCCAAUCGAACCCGGAGAUAGCUGGUUCUCCUCGAAAUAGCUUUAGGGCUAGCCUCAUAUAAGUCUUGCGGAGGUAGAGCACUGAAUUUCCUAGGGGGCGUCAAAGCUUACCAAAGAAUAUCAAACUCCGAAUGCCGUGUAGAUGUUGUAUGGGAGUCAGACUGUACGAGAUAAGUUGGACAGUCAAAAGGGAAAGAGCCCAGACCUGCAGCUAAGGCCCCAAAAUGUGUGUUAAGUGGAAAAGGAUGUGGGAUUUCAAAGACAACUAGGAUGUUGGCUUAGAAGCAGCCAUACAUUCAAAGAGUGCGUAAUAGCUCACUAGUCGAGAGGUCCUGCGCCGAAAAUGUCCGGGGCUGAAACACACUGCCGAAGCUCAGGAAU